RNAcentral lists this ribosomal RNA (253 nucleotides) under uncultured bacterium. RNAcentral's name for it is "partial 16S ribosomal RNA". It matches the Rfam family "Bacterial small subunit ribosomal RNA", at positions 524 to 776 of the family's 1533-position model. The record is from RNAcentral.
UACAGAGGGUGCGAGCGUUAAUCGGAAUUACUGGGCGUAAAGCGCGCGUAGGCGGCUUUGCAAGUCGGGUGUGAAAUCCCCAGGCUUAACCUGGGAACUGCAUUCGAGACUGCAUUGCUAGAGUAUGGGAGAGGGAAGUGGAAUUUUCGGUGUAGCGGUGAAAUGCGUAGAUAUCGGAAGGAACAUCAGUGGCGAAAGCGACUUCCUGGACCAAUACUGACGCUCAUGUGCGAAAGCGUGGGGAGCAAACGGG